RNAcentral lists this ribosomal RNA (459 nucleotides) under uncultured bacterium. RNAcentral's name for it is "partial 16S ribosomal RNA". It matches the Rfam family "Bacterial small subunit ribosomal RNA", at positions 339 to 795 of the family's 1533-position model. The record is from RNAcentral.
CUACGGGAGGCAGCAGUGAGGAAUAUUGGUCAAUGGGCGCAAGCCUGAACCAGCCACUCCGCGUGUAGGAUGACUGCCCUAUGGGUUGUAAACUACUUUUAUACAGGAAGAAACCUCCUUACGUGUAGGGAGCUGACUGUACUGUAAGAAUAAGCAUCGGCUAACUCCGUGCCAGCAGCCGCGGUAAUACGGAGGAUGCAAGCGUUAUCCGGAUUUAUUAGGUCUAAAGGGUUCGUAGGCGGAUGAUUAAGUCAGUGGUGAAAUCCUACAGCUUAACUGUAGAACUGCCAUUGAUACUGGUUGUCUUGAGUAUAGUUGAGGUAGGCGGAAUGUGUAGUGUAGCGGUGAAAUGCUUAGAUAUUACACAGAACAUCGAUUGCGAAGGCAGCUUACUAAGCUAUUACUGACGCUAAGGAACGAAAGCGUGGGGAGCGAACAGGAUUAGAUACCCCAGUAGUC